GACGAACGCUGGCGGCGUGCCUAACACAUGCAAGUCGAGCGGAGUCGAUCGACGGAAGCCUUCGGGCGGAAGAUGGUUGACUUAGCGGCGGAUGGGUGAGUAACGCGUGGGCAACCUGCCUCGAAGACCGGGAUAACAGCCCGAAAGGGCUGCUAAUACCGGAUGUGGUCAAGGAUCCGCAUGGAUUUUGAUUAAGGGAAACCCGUUUCGAGAAUGGGCCCGCGUCCUAUCAGCUAGUUGGUGAGGUAAAAGCUCACCAAGGCGACGACGGGUAGCCGGCCUGAGAGGGUGACCGGCCACACUGGAACUGAGACACGGUCCAGACUCCUACGGGGGGCAGCAGUGGGGAAUCUUCCACAAUGGGCGAAAGCCUGAUGGAGCGACGCCGCGUGAGCGAAGAAGGCCUUCGGGUUGUAAAGCUCUGUCUGGAGGGACGAAGGAAGUGACGGUACCUCCGGAGGAAGCCACGGCUAACUACGUG
RNAcentral lists this ribosomal RNA (481 nucleotides) under uncultured bacterium. RNAcentral's name for it is "bacterial SSU rRNA". It matches the Rfam family "Bacterial small subunit ribosomal RNA", at positions 28 to 507 of the family's 1533-position model. The record is from RNAcentral.